This 472-nucleotide ribosomal RNA is filed under the name uncultured bacterium. RNAcentral describes it as "bacterial SSU rRNA". It matches the Rfam family "Bacterial small subunit ribosomal RNA", at positions 8 to 526 of the family's 1533-position model. The record is from RNAcentral.
AGAGUUUGAUCCUGGCUCAGAGCGAACGCUGGCGGCAGGCCUAACACAUGCAAGUCGAACGAACUCUUCGGAGUUAGUGGCGGACGGGUGAGUAACACGUGGGAACGUGCCUUUAGGUUCGGAAUAACUCAGGGAAACUUGUGCUAAUACCGAAUGUGCCCUUCGGGGGAAAGAUUUAUCGCCUUUAGAGCGGCCCGCGUCUGAUUAGCUAGUUGGUGAGGUAAAGGCUCACCAAGGCGACGAUCAGUAGCUGGUCUGAGAGGAUGAUCAGCCACAUUGGGACUGAGACACGGCCCAAACUCCUACGGGAGGCAGCAGUGGGGAAUCUUGCGCAAUGGGCGAAAGCCUGACGCAGCCAUGCCGCGUGAAUGAUGAAGGUCUUAGGAUUGUAAAAUUCUUUCACCGGGGACGAUAAUGACGGUACCAGGAGAAGAAGCCCCGGCUAACUUCGUGCCAGCAGCCGCGGUAAUUC